AGGACGAACGCUGGCGGCGUGCUUAACACAUGCAAGUCGAGCGGAAAGGCCUUUCGGGGUACUCGAGCGGCGAACGGGUGAGCAACACGUGAGUAAUCUGCCCAUCGCUUCAGGAUAGCCAUCGGAAACGGUGAUUAAUACUGGAUAUGACAUUCCUUCGCAUGUUGGGGUGUGGAAAGUUUUUUCGGCGGUGGAUGUGCUCGCGGCCUAUCAGCUUGUUGGUGGGGUAAUGGCCUACCAAGGCUUUGACGGGUAGCCGGCCUGAGAGGGUGACCGGCCACACGUGGGACUGAGACACGGCCCAGACUCACGGGAGCAGCAGUGGGAAUAUGGACAAGUGGGCGAAGCCUGAUCCAGCAACGCGCGUGAGGAUGACGGCUUCGGUGUAACCUCUU
This 395-nucleotide ribosomal RNA is filed under the name uncultured soil bacterium. RNAcentral's name for it is "bacterial SSU rRNA". It matches the Rfam family "Bacterial small subunit ribosomal RNA", at positions 26 to 435 of the family's 1533-position model. The record is from RNAcentral.